UUUAUAUUUAUAUAAUUAUAUUUUUAUAUUUAUAUAAAUAUAUAUAUUUAUAUUUAUAUAAAUAUAUAAUUAUAUAAAUAUAUAUAACAAUGUAAUAUAUAAUAUACAUUAAUAUAUAAUAGAUUUAUAAUUAUAUAUUAUAUAUUUAUACAUUAUUUAAAUAUAAAUAUAUAUAUAUAUAUAUUUUUUUUUUUUUUUUUUUUUUUUGGAGACAGAGUCUCGCUCUGUCACCCAGGCUGGAGUGCAGUGGCACCAUCUCGGCUCACUGCAAGCUCCACCUCCUGGGUUCACGCCAUUCUCCUGCCUCAGCCUCCCCAGUGGCUGGGACUAUAGGUGCCCGCCACCACGCCCGGCUAAUUUUUUGUAUUUUUAGUAGAGACGGGGUUUCGCCGUGUUAGCCAGGAUGGUCUCGAUCUCCUGACCUUGUGAUCCGCCCGCCUCAGCCUCCCAAAGUGCUGGGAUUACAAGCAUGAGCCACUGCACCAGACCUAAAUACUAUAUAUUUAAAAAGCAUCAGGCUGGAGGUGGUGGCUCAUGCCUGUAAUCCCAAUACUCUGGGAGCCAAAGCAGGAGAAUCACAUAAGCCCAGCGGUUUGAGACCAGCCUGGGCAACAGGCCAAGAUCUCAUCUCUGAAAAAAAAAAAGUAAAAAAAAUUAGCCAGGUGUGGUGGUGCACACCUGUAGUCCCAGCUAACUCUCAAGGCUGAGGAGGAAGGAUUGCUUGAACCCAGGAGGUUGAGGUUGCAGUAAGCCAUGAUCAUGCGCUGCACUCCCGCCUGGGCAACGGAGUGAGAGACUGUCUCAAAAAUUUAAAAAAUAUAUAUUUUUUUAAGCAUCAGAUAGGCUUGCUCUGCAAAGAUCUUAGAUCUUUGUAGUCAAAAAUACCUAGAAUUGUUUGAAUUCCAAUUGUGACAAUUAGUUGUAGGAACCUUAAACAAGUUAUUUAAAACCCCAGUCUUAGCUAAAAAUGGAAUCUGAGGCUGCAAAGAUGACAGAAGAUCAUAAUAUAAACUGCAUGGUGUACAGUCUAGAACACAGUCUUAGUUUCCCACAAUUUAUUAAACCCCAAAGAAAGAAAAGAUGGGAGAGGAAUGCACUUUCCUUUAACUCCCUUCACAAACUGGUGAAUGAUGACACCCAAUGAUGACUACAACAUUCUCAAAUGAGGGAAAUUAAAACGAAGAAGAAAAAAAAACUGGCCCUACCAAAAGCUUUCACAACUAGGGACUUAACCUGAAAAACGAGAUUUUGUUGUUGUUGUUUGAGAUGGAAUUUCGUUCUCGUUGCCCAGGCUGCAGUGCAAUGGCGUGAUCUCAGCUCACUGCAACCUCCGCCUCCCGGGUUCAAGCGAUUCUCCUGUCUCAGCCUCCUGAGUAGCUAGAUUACAGGUGCCCGCCACUAUGCCCAGCUAAUUUUUGGUAUUUUUAGUAGAGAUGGGUUUUCACAACAUGUUGGCGAGGCUGGUCCUGAACUCCUGACCUCAGGUGAUCCGCCCGCCUGGGCCUUCCAAAGUGCUGGGAUUACAGGCAUGAGCCACCACGCCCGGCUGAGAUUUUUUAUAGAUAGGAUUUUUUAAGAGAAUGCAGGACAGGACUAACAAAAAGAAAAAAAGAAAUACCCCUCUACUCCACACGAGUUAUUAAGAAAUUAUUUUAGGCAAAUGGAGAGGAAAAGUGGUCCUUGGAAGGUUUUUCGUAGCUCCAGAAAAAUUUCUUGUCUAGCAUAAAAGCCCUGGCUCUUAAAGGCUGGCAACCUUUAAGAUGCAAAUGCAAGAGGGUCCACCCAACAUGGCGAUUCCCACCGUUGUCCUCUUGCCCUUGCUCCAUCAGGUACCUAACAGCAUGGCCGCCCCCACAUAACCCCGUGUGUAAAAUGUCAUGGCAUCCUGCAUUUGUGUAUUAAAGGACUGGGGUGGGAGGGCCAGUUUUCUUGAGGGCUAAAUGACAUGCCUGGUCAAACCAAUCCUCUGAGCCCUAUGCAAAUAAGACACCACCCCCUCCAGCCGUCACAUAAAACUGGCUAGUAUUGUCAGAAUGUAAGGUCUCCUCUUUCAGCUUUAGAGCCCCCCUCCCUCUGUCUGUGUAAGGGGGAGCUUCUUCCUUCUGCCUUCUCCCUUCUUGCCUAUUAAACGCUCUGCUCCUUAAAACCACUCCACGUGUGUCCGUGUCGUUUUAUCUAAUUCAACUCAAAACAAAAAACCUGGUGUUCCUCUACUCCUCAAAGCCAUAUCAGUAACAAGGCAGUGUCCCAGGUACAAAGCAGGAACAAGGACUCUAAAUAUCAUUCAGCUAGAAUUCUGAUAUAACUUUAACAAAAACUAUACAUUAAAUAGGGGUCCGGGCAGGUGGCUCACAUCUGUAAUCCCAACACUUUGGGAGGCCAAGGCAGGCAGAUCACUUGAGGUCAGGAGUUCGAGACCAGCCUGGCCAACAUGGCGAAACCCCGUC
Molecule: long non-coding RNA, 2447 nt
Filed under: Homo sapiens (human)
Lineage: Eukaryota; Metazoa; Chordata; Mammalia; Primates; Hominidae
Description: HSALNT0369007
Source: RNAcentral